AUUUGGGCACUGUCUCAACGAGAGACUCGGUGAAAUUUUAGUACCUGUGAAGAUGCAGGUUACCCGCGACAGGACGGAAAGACCCCAUGGAGCUUUACUGCAGUUUGAUAUUGAGUAUCUGUACCACAUGUACAGGAUAGGUAGGAGCCAUUGACUUCGGGACGCCAGUUUCGAAUGAGGCGUUGUUGGGAUACUACCCUUGUGUUAUGGCUACUCUAACCCAGAUAGGUUAUCCCUAUCGGA
Molecule: ribosomal RNA, 243 nt
Filed under: Escherichia coli
Lineage: Bacteria; Pseudomonadati; Pseudomonadota; Gammaproteobacteria; Enterobacterales; Enterobacteriaceae
Description: partial 23S ribosomal RNA
Rfam family: Bacterial large subunit ribosomal RNA
Source: RNAcentral